UACGUAGGGGGCUAGCGUUGUCCGGAUUUAUUGGGCGUAAAGAGCGUGUAGGCGGCCAGGUAGGUCUGCUGUGAAAACAUCGAGGCUCAACCUCGAGAUGUCGGCGGAAACCAUCUGGCUAGAGUCCGGAAGAGGGUCGUGGAAUUCCCAGUGUAGAGGUGAAAUUCGUAGAUAUUGGGAAGAACACCGGUGGCGAAGGCGGCGACCUGGUCCUUUUACUGACGCUGGAGGCGCGAAAGCGUGGGGAGCAAACAGG
RNAcentral lists this ribosomal RNA (256 nucleotides) under uncultured bacterium. RNAcentral describes it as "partial 16S ribosomal RNA". It matches the Rfam family "Bacterial small subunit ribosomal RNA", at positions 524 to 776 of the family's 1533-position model. The record is from RNAcentral.